RNAcentral lists this small RNA (287 nucleotides) under Vitreoscilla filiformis. RNAcentral's name for it is "5' ureB small RNA". It matches the Rfam family "5' ureB small RNA". Lineage: Bacteria; Pseudomonadati; Pseudomonadota; Betaproteobacteria; Neisseriales; Neisseriaceae. The record is from Rfam by way of RNAcentral.
CUUCUUCAAUCUGUUGCGGGCAGAUGAAGUGAAUGUGCGUGUCGAUGGCCCCCGCCGUCACGAUCAUCCCUUCAGCCGCGAUGAUCUCGGUGCCGGGGCCGAUGACGAUGUCCACGCCCGGCUGCACAUCCGGGUUGCCCGCUUUGCCGAUGGCGACGAUGCGCGAGCCUUUGAGGCCAAUGUCUGCCUUGACGAUGCCCCAAUGGUCGAGGAUCACCGCGUUGGUGAUGACGCAAUCGCACGCCUCAUGCGCCCCGGGGCCGUUCACCACUUGGCUUUGGCCCAUG